This 269-nucleotide long non-coding RNA is filed under the name Mytilus galloprovincialis (Mediterranean mussel). Lineage: Eukaryota; Metazoa; Mollusca; Bivalvia; Mytilida; Mytilidae. The record is from RNAcentral.
UUAGCCUUCAAAGUCAGUUUUUUAGAACAUCAAUAUUAUAUUUUACCUGUUUAAUAAGCUAUUUUUGUUUGACUUUUCGCAUUUUCUGUAAGUCCAGAAAUUUUUGUAGUAUAAAAAUAAGAAGAUGUGGUAUAAUUGCCAACGAGACAACUCUCCACAUGACACCAAAUGACACAGAAAUUAACAACUGCUAGUAUAUGUCACCGUACGGUCGAAUGUUUACAAACACUUUUUUGUACGCUUUUUGACGCAAUUCUAUAAAAAAAAAA